Molecule: long non-coding RNA, 1070 nt
Filed under: Chinchilla lanigera (long-tailed chinchilla)
Lineage: Eukaryota; Metazoa; Chordata; Mammalia; Rodentia; Chinchillidae
Description: lncRNA (ENSCLAG00000026370.1)
Source: RNAcentral
CGGCACGUGUAGAUUUACUGCGCUUGAUCUGAAAGACAAAAUUGGAACAAAUUAACAAUGGAAGACUUAAAGCUGACCAACCAAUAAAGUGAGAGAUAUGCAAGGCUGGUCAGGAAGAACACACUUCAGAAGAGUCAGAAGCCAAAGGGGGCAGAUGGGUGCCUGCCCGUCUGAAGCAGCAGUGCCCUGAGACAGAGAGUGUGACUGAUGAUUACCUGGGAAACGGGGCAGAGUCUGAAGAGCAUUUACAAGGACGCAGGGCAUUUACAAGGAGCAUUUACAAGGACCACCCCGCACCUUGUUCAGCUGGACGGCAGAAAGAACCAAAUGCAGGGGACCAAGUGCUUCACGCUAUGUGCUCCAGGGAGCGACGCUGAGGGAGGUGGAGGAGUGACCACCCCGAGGCUGAGGUGUGAUGACCACGGAGGUGGGGGUCACCUGAGCUUCCGCCUGUCGUCUUCCUCCUCUCUCCUCUUCCCUUGCUCUUUGCUUCUUUGCUGGCCUCCUAGGCUUGCCCCCUCUUGCACUUUCUCAGUCUCCCUCAAAUUACCUUCCCUUUGGGGGCACUGUUGUCCCUGUCCUGCCCAGCACGAACCCUCAGAGGAGGGUUGAGAUCCGCGCAGGAUCCUGUGCAAAUGAGCAACAUCUUUAGCACCCCGCUUCCUGCUGCAGGCUCAUCUCUGCAUGUUAAGUGUGGCUUGAACUUUUCCCCCUCUUUCAAAGAUGUUGUUUCUUCCAAAUGCUCAUAAACACUUUCUAACCACUUGCAGUAUGUUUUGAUUUCCCAGCUGUUCCUUCUUGGCACUCGUGUAAGGAUCCAGCCAUCUGCUUGCCAAGUUGAGAGAGGAGUGUAGAGAAGAUGCUUUUCCUUUGCACCAGACACGCUUUGACCUCUGUGUCUAGCCCUGCCCUCACGUCUGGCUCCAACAGAGGGCGGGACAUGUCCUUAAUCUAUAUUCUUUGAAAUGGUAAAACAAAAUGAUAACCAGUUUCCCCAUGAAAAAAGACAAAGAAACCACUUUCACUGAAGAGGAAAAGAGGAGAACCGAGGGAAGCGUUGAACAUUUGUG